UUAAUUGAAGAGUUUGAUCAUGGCUCAGAUUGAACGCUGGCGGCAGGCCUAACACAUGCAAGUCGAGCGGUAACAGAUUGAUAGCUUGCUAUCAAUGCUGACGAGCGGCGGACGGGUGAGUAAUGCCUGGGAAUAUGCCCUGAUGUGGGGGAUAACUAUUGGAAACGAUAGCUAAUACCGCAUAAUCUCUUCGGAGCAAAGAGGGGGACCUUCGGGCCUCUCGCGUCAGGAUUAGCCCAGGUGGGAUUAGCUUGUUGGUGGGGUAAUGGCUCACCAAGGCAACGAUCCCUAGCUGGUCUGAGAGGAUGAUCAGCCACACUGGAACUGAGACACGGUCCAGACUCCUACGGGAGGCAGCAGUGGGGAAUAUUGCACAAUGGGGGAAACCCUGAUGCAGCCAUGCCGCGUGUAUGAAGAAGGCCUUCGGGUUGUAAAGUACUUUCAGUUGUGAGGAAGGC
Molecule: ribosomal RNA, 458 nt
Filed under: Photobacterium angustum
Lineage: Bacteria; Pseudomonadati; Pseudomonadota; Gammaproteobacteria; Vibrionales; Vibrionaceae
Also listed under: 3 other names
Description: bacterial SSU rRNA
Rfam family: Bacterial small subunit ribosomal RNA
Source: RNAcentral